ACAUUGCCCGCGAAGCCCUUCUCGUAAUUCGACGCGGAAUGUCUCUCUUCCGCCAGGUCUGUUCUCCAAUUCUAUUUCCACCACCAUCCUCACCUCACCGUUUGUUUUUACAUUUUCUGCCACUUUUGAGUGUCACAUAUCAUAGCUGCUUAUGUUAUGCUGUGCUCGUUGUUUAUUUAGAUUUGUGUUAUGGGUCUUGGGAAUCAGUGCUCUUAGAGCAUUGGUUAAGGAAUUAAAAUGAGCAGCACAAUAUUUUGCCUCCCAAUAAAAACAUUUCUACUUUUAAGUUCAUGGGAUUAGCAUUUGCCUUGUGUUAUUUAUACAACAUUUUUUAUAAUAUAAUAUUGCCAUUUUUUGUUUAUGUUUUUCCAUUGCAUUAUUUAUGUAAUUUUUUGUAUCGACAAUGGUUAGUUUUGUUAGUUUUUAUUAGUGGGAGGAUUCGAAACUGCGACCUCUCUCGACCUCUCCCUCCUCCCUUCUCACUUGUGCAAUAUAACAACUAUACACUAAUAAUAAUGUAAAACAAUUUAUAAUUGGUAUGAAUUUAAGUUAAAUUAUUAUAGAAGUCAAUAAAUUUAUGUUAGGUGGUGGUGAGUUGUGAUAGAUGAUAGUGCAAAUGUUUUUCACUGUAAGUUCAUAACAUAUUUUCUCGUGUUUAUAUUGCAUCUAAUAUUUGUCUCUCAUAGUUGUAUAAUCUGUUACAUAAGUUGUUGUACAAAUAGCAUUUCCCGUUAAUUUGUUGUUAAGGGUGAUGUUUUGGGGUCUCUUGUGAGUUCGACAAGGCAAUUCAGUUGGACCCUCGUCAAAAGGCAUGCAGGAUACACAUUUUGGAAAACGCUUCUAUCAAUUCACUUUGAUAUUUUGGUUAUGAAACAUUGUGAUUGUUACCGGAUCUUUGGCAAAGGGGCUUAUCACUUUACUACCUUAAUCG
This 931-nucleotide long non-coding RNA is filed under the name Glycine max (soybean). RNAcentral describes it as "long non-coding RNA (GMAX_LNC004686)". The record is from RNAcentral. Lineage: Eukaryota; Viridiplantae; Streptophyta; Magnoliopsida; Fabales; Fabaceae.